RNAcentral lists this ribosomal RNA (547 nucleotides) under uncultured fungus. RNAcentral describes it as "eukaryotic LSU rRNA". The stretch from base 184 to 338 matches the Rfam family "5.8S ribosomal RNA". The record is from RNAcentral. Lineage: Eukaryota; Fungi.
AAGUCGUAACAAGGUCUCCGUUGGUGAACCAGCGGAGGGAUCAUUACUGAGUACUACACUCUCUACCCUUUGUGAACUAUUAUACCUGUUGCUUCGGCGGCGCCCGCAAGGGUGCCCGCCGUCUCAUCAGAAUCUCUGUUUUCGAACCGACGAUACUUCUGAGUGUUCUUAGCGAACUGUCAAAACUUUUAACAACGGAUCUCUGGCUCCAGCAUCGAUGAAGAACGCAGCGAAACGCGAUAUGUAAUGUGAAUUGCAGAAUUCAGUGGAAUCAUCGAAUCUUUGAACGCACAUGGGCGCCUUCCAGUAUCCUGGGAGGCAUGCCUGUCCGAGCGUCGUUUCAACCCUCGAGCCCCUGUGGCCCGGCGUUGGGGAUCUGCACGGCAGCCCCUAAAAACCAGUGGCGGACCCGAAGGGCCCUCUCCUUUGCGCAGUAGCAUUCGCCUCGCAUCGGGAGUCCUCGGCGUCUGCCUCUAAACCCCCCACAAGCCCGCUUCGGCGGCACCAAGGUUGACCUCGGAUCAGGUAGGAAUACCGCUGAACUUAA